Molecule: long non-coding RNA, 1485 nt
Filed under: Selaginella moellendorffii
Lineage: Eukaryota; Viridiplantae; Streptophyta; Lycopodiopsida; Selaginellales; Selaginellaceae
Description: long non-coding RNA (SMOE_LNC002368)
Source: RNAcentral
ACUACAAAUCCCCUCCUCCUCCUUCGCCGGUCUACUAUUACAAAUCCCCGCCUCCACCACCAUACUAUUACAAGUCCCCACCUCCACCUCCGCCUAAGUAUUACUACAAGUCGCCCCCACCACCGUCUCCAUACUAUUACAAAUCCCCGCCCCCUCCACCGUACUAUUACAAAUCCCCACCACCACCUCCCUACAAAUACGAAUCGCCGCCGCCUCCUCCUUACAAAUACGAGUCCCCACCUCCACCACCUUACUAUUACAAGUCCCCACCACCACCUCCAUACAAAUAUGAAUCCCCGCCACCUCCAGUCUACAAAUAUGAGUCUCCGCCACCCCCAGUUUACAAAUACAAGUCGCCACCACCACCAUACAAGUACGAGUCACCACCACCACCUCCAUACAAGUAUGAAUCCCCGCCACCUCCACCUUAUUACUACAAGUCCCCUCCACCACCACCAUACAAGUACGAGUCGCCACCACCUCCUCCGUACAAGUAUGAAUCUCCACCACCACCAGUUUACAAAUACAAGUCACCUCCGCCGCCACCUUAUUACUACAAAUCCCCACCGCCACCUCCAUACAAGUACGAGUCUCCACCUCCUCCUCCGUACAAGUAUGAAUCUCCACCACCACCACCUUAUUACUACAAAUCCCCCCCGCCACCUCCAUACAAGUACGAGUCACCGCCUCCUCCUCCGUACAAGUAUGAAUCUCCACCACCGCCAGUUUACAAAUACAAGUCACCCCCGCCACCACCUUAUUACUACAAAUCCCCGCCACCACCUCCAUACAAGUACGAGUCUCCACCUCCUCCUCCGUACAAGUAUGAAUCUCCACCACCACCUCCUUAUUACUACAAAUCCCCGCCGCCACCUCCCUACAAGUAUGAAUCCCCGCCACCACCUCCCUACAAAUACGAGUCACCUCCACCACCACCUUACUAUUACAAAUCUCCUCCACCGCCUCCAUACAAGUAUGAGUCGCCACCACCACCAGUCUACAAAUACGAGUCUCCGCCACCCCCAGUUUACAAAUACAAGUCGCCCCCUCCACCUUAUUACUACAAGUCUCCGCCACCCCCGCCAUACAAAUAUGAAUCCCCACCUCCACCUCCCUACAAGUAUGAAUCGCCUCCUCCUCCACCUUACUACUACAAGUCCCCUCCACCACCUCCCUACAAAUAUGAAUCCCCGCCACCACCUCCCUAUAAAUACGAGUCACCACCACCACCACCUUACUAUUACAAAUCUCCUCCACCGCCUCCAUACAAGUAUGAGUCGCCACCACCACCUCCCUACAAAUACGAGUCACCACCACCACCACCUUACAAGUAUGAAUCCCCACCUCCACCUCCGUACAAGUAUGAAUCACCUCCACCGCCUCCAUACAAGUAUGAAUCCCCUCCUCCACCUCCCUACAAAUACGAGUCACCACCCCCACCACCUUAUUACUACAAAUCGCCUCCGCCACCGGAGUAUCAAUCAC